This 1360-nucleotide long non-coding RNA is filed under the name Mustela putorius furo (domestic ferret). Its description in RNAcentral is "lncRNA (ENSMPUG00000028953.1)". The record is from RNAcentral. Lineage: Eukaryota; Metazoa; Chordata; Mammalia; Carnivora; Mustelidae.
GUGGCUCAGUGGGUUGGGCUGCUGCCUUCGGCUCAGGUCAUGAUCCCGGGGUCCUGGGAUCGAGCCCCACAUCGGGCUCUCUGCUCAGCGGGGAGCCUGCUUCCUCCCCUCUCUCUGCCUGCCUCUCUGCCUGCUUGUCAUCUCUCUGUCAAAUAAAUAAAUAAAUAAUCUUUAAAAAAAAAAAUCCUAAAACUGAAAUGAGUAAGAACUUCCAGAACUAAGAAGCUGCAUUCACACUGAACAAGAAUCAGUAACAUGGGACUAAAUGAACUAAAAAGAUGAUUACAGUUUUGUGAUCCUUGUUUGAAAAACAUUGCUGGUUCCUUAAUGUUCACUCUUCCUGAUUAAGGAAAUGUAAGAUUUCUAUGACCUACAGAAACAUGAUAAAAUAAUCAUUUGUAAGCAAAUUAAAGCAUUCAACUUUUCUCUCUAUCUGAACCCUCUGAAACCCUGAAAAAGGUCUCAGUAAGUAUUCCUUCUUCCAUGGAAAUCGUAGUCAUUUUCAUAAGUUCAGUAAGAAUCUGUUCUUCUUGCAACAGGACAUUGGAAACAUGGGUUAUUUUACCAAGACUUUGACUGGAACGUCAUAUUGGAGAAAGACAUGCAUAGAUUCAGAUAUGACCAGACAGCUUUAAGGAGCUAAGGUUGACUUUGUGAAACUGGAGUCAUAAAGCCCCUUGGAACUGUUGGCCUGAUACCUUGCUUACAGAGUUCCCAGCAGCCUCACCAGGUGUCUCAGGCCCUCACCAGCUGGAUCAAUCACACAGUGGAAAGCCCAGCCAUAUCCUACAGACCUGCCCCAGCUCCAUCUUUGAUGAGACCCCACUGACUGAUGGACAUCUGUUCACCGUGGUCCCUGGCUAUUGUCGCCAUGACACCAACACCCUCACCUCAGGAGUUGGACUUUACAUUGCUGCCCUGUCUGACUGGACUUUCUCCCAGAAACUUGUUAUUGUUAUUGCUUAUUGGGCAGCCUUAGGAACCUUAAGAUGGAUUGCUAAGUUCAUAGAAAACACUGUCACUGGGCAAACCACUCACUGUCCAAAUACUAGGCUUGCAGGGCCAUCAUAAUAGAUGAUAAUGAUGCCCUCUAAACUAGGUGUUUAAAGGGGCAUCAAAGAGGGGAAUGAUAGGGAAAAACUGUACUCUACAAUGGCCGACCAAACCAGCAAACCAGUCCCUGUCUCAAAGCCCUUCCAGGUUCUUCUUUCCUACCCUGUUUCCUGCACACGCCAAAAGUGCCAAGUAUGUGGAAGUAGAAGGGUAUAAAUUCCCAUCCCUGCUAAUGCUCAGGACUCAGACCUUUGGAAAAUAGUCUCCUCUGAGCCUGCCCUUGUUAAAUAAACUUCUAAUCCUCCAA